RNAcentral lists this ribosomal RNA (468 nucleotides) under uncultured bacterium. RNAcentral's name for it is "partial 16S ribosomal RNA". It matches the Rfam family "Bacterial small subunit ribosomal RNA", at positions 28 to 507 of the family's 1533-position model. The record is from RNAcentral.
GACGAACGCUGGCGGCGUGCUUAACACAUGCAAGUCGAACGGAAAGGCCCUGCUUUUGUGGGGUGCUCGAGUGGCGAACGGGUGAGUAACACGUGAGUAACCUGCCCUUGACUUUGGGAUAACUUCAGGAAACUGGGGCUAAUACCGGAUAGGAGCUCCUGCUGCAUGGUGGGGGUUGGAAAGUUUCGGCGGUUGGGGAUGGACUCGCGGCUUAUCAGGUUGUUGGUGGGGUAGUGGCUUGCCAAGGCUUUGACGGGUAGCCGGCCUGAGAGGGUGACCGGCCACAUUGGGACUGAGAUACGGCCCAGACUCCUACGGGAGGCAGCAGUGGGGAAUAUUGCACAAUGGGCGGAAGCCUGAUGCAGCAACGCCGUGUGCGGGAUGACGGCCUUCGGGUUGUAAACCGCUUUCGCCUGUGACGAAGCGUGAGUGACGGUAAUGGGUAAAGAAGCACCGGCUAACUACGUG